GUAGCUUGCUACCGGACCUAGCGGCGGACGGGUGAGUAAUGCUUAGGAAUCUGCCUAUUAGUGGGGGACAACAUCUCGAAAGGGAUGCUAAUACCGCAUACGUCCUACGGGAGAAAGCAGGGGAUCUUCGGACCUUGCGCUAAUAGAUGAGCCUAAGUCGGAUUAGCUAGUUGGUGGGGUAAAGGCCUACCAAGGCGACGAUCUGUAGCGGGUCUGAGAGGAUGAUCCGCCACACUGGGACUGAGACACGGCCCAGACUCCUACGGGAGGCAGCAGUGGGGAAUAUUGGACAAUGGGGGGAACCCUGAUCCAGCCAUGCCGCGUGUGUGAAGAAGGCCUUAUGGUUGUAAAGCACUUUAAGCGAGGAGGAGGCUACUUUAGUUAAUACCUAGAGAUAGUGGACGUUACUCGCAGAAUAAGCACCGGCUAACUCUGUGCCAGCAGCCGCGGUAAUACAGAGGGUGCGAGCGUUAAUCGGAUUUACUGGGCGUAAAGCGUGCGUAGGCGGCUUAUUAAGUCGGAUGUGAAAUCCCCGAGCUUAACUUGGGAAUUGCAUUCGAUACUGGUGAGCUAGAGUAUGGGAGAGGAUGGUAGAAUUCCACGUGUAGCGGUGAAAUGCGUAGAGAUCUGGAGGAAUACCGAUGGCGAAGGCAGCCAUCUGGCCUAAUACUGACGCUGAGGUACGAAAGCAU
Molecule: ribosomal RNA, 692 nt
Filed under: Acinetobacter baumannii
Lineage: Bacteria; Pseudomonadati; Pseudomonadota; Gammaproteobacteria; Moraxellales; Moraxellaceae
Description: bacterial SSU rRNA
Rfam family: Bacterial small subunit ribosomal RNA
Source: RNAcentral